This 460-nucleotide ribosomal RNA is filed under the name uncultured bacterium. RNAcentral describes it as "partial 16S ribosomal RNA". It matches the Rfam family "Bacterial small subunit ribosomal RNA", at positions 338 to 795 of the family's 1533-position model. The record is from RNAcentral.
CCUACGGGAGACAGCAGUGAGGAAUAUUGGUCAAUGGACGAGAGUCUGAACCAGCCAAGUAGCGUGAAGGAUGACUGCCCUAUGGGUUGUAAACUUCUUUUAUAUGGGAAUAAAAUGUUCCACGUGUGGGAUUUUGUAUGUACCAUAUGAAUAAGGAUCGGCUAACUCCGUGCCAGCAGCCGCGGUAAUACGGAGGAUCCGAGCGUUAUCCGGAUUUAUUGGGUUUAAAGGGAGCGUAGGUGGAUUGUUAAGUCAGUUGUGAAAGUUUGCGGCUCAACCGUAAAAUUGCAGUUGAAACUGGCAGUCUUGAGUACAGUAGAGGUGGGCGGAAUUCGUGGUGUAGCGGUGAAAUGCUUAGAUAUCACGAAGAACUCCGAUUGCGAAGGCAGUUCACUGGACUGCAACCGACACUGAGGCUCGAAAGUGUGGGUAUCAAACAGGAUUAGAUACCCGAGUAGUC